RNAcentral lists this small RNA (97 nucleotides) under Salmonella enterica. Its description in RNAcentral is "partial RtT sRNA". It matches the Rfam family "RtT RNA", at positions 1 to 95 of the family's 130-position model. From Rfam's summary of the family: This family represents a bacterial cis-regulatory element known as RtT RNA. The exact function of RtT is unknown although it is thought that it may be involved in changing the cellular response in relation to amino acid starvation. The record is from RNAcentral. RNAcentral also lists the same sequence under 1 other name. Lineage: Bacteria; Pseudomonadati; Pseudomonadota; Gammaproteobacteria; Enterobacterales; Enterobacteriaceae.
GUCUGCACUUGUCGGGGAAGGGUGAGAACCCUCGAUUAAGGUUCGACUCGAGCGAAAGCGAGAGAACGUUGCCAACGGCAACGGCCCGUAGGGUGAG